Molecule: ribosomal RNA, 1081 nt
Filed under: Hypocreales sp. P50123AP15CC1022
Lineage: Eukaryota; Fungi; Ascomycota; Sordariomycetes; Hypocreales
Description: eukaryotic LSU rRNA
Rfam family: Eukaryotic large subunit ribosomal RNA (bases 493-1081)
Source: RNAcentral
GACUCCCAAACCAUUGUGAACCUUACCCAUCGUUGCUUCGGCGGACACGCCCCGGCGCUCUCGCGACCGGAACCAGGCGCCCGCCGGGGGGAAAACCUAAAACCUUUGAAUUCCUAAGUGUAACUUCUGAGUGGCGAAAGCAUAAAUACAAUCAAAACUUUCAACAACGGAUCUCUUGGCUCUGGCAUCGAUGAAGAACGCAGCGAAAUGCGAUAAGUAAUGUGAAUUGCAGAAUUCAGCGAAUCAUCGAAUCUUUGAACGCACAUUGCGCCCGCCAGCACUCUGGCGGGCAUGCCUGUUCGAGCGUCAUUUCAACCCCUCAAGCCCUGGGCUUGGUGUUGGGGAUCGACCGCCGCCCCCCCGCCCGCCGGGGGGGCAGGUCGGCCCUGAAAUUCAGUGGCGGUCCCGCCGCGGCCCCCUCUGCGCAGUAGCACAACUCGCACUGGAGAGCGGCGCGGGCCACGCCCAAACCCCCACCGUACCUUCACAGGUUGACCUCGAAUCAGGUAGGAAUACCCGCUGAACUUAAGCAUAUCAAUAAGCGGAGGAAAAGAAACCAACAGGGAUUGCCCUAGUAACGGCGAGUGAAGCGGCAACAGCUCAAAUUUGAAAUCUGGCCCCAGGCCCGAGUUGUAAUUUGCAGAGGAUGCUUUUGGCGCGGUGCCUUCCAAGUUCCCUGGAACGGGACGCCACAGAGGGUGAGAGCCCCGUCGGGUCGUGCAACCAAGCCUUUGUAAAGCUCCUUCGACGAGUCGAGUAGUUUGGGAAUGCUGCUCUAAAUGGGAGGUAUAUGUCUUCUAAAGCUAAAUACCGGCCAGAGACCGAUAGCGCACAAGUAGAGUGAUCGAAAGAUGAAAAGCACUUUGAAAAGAGAGUUAAAAAGCACGUGAAAUUGUUGAAAGGGAAGCGUUCAUGACCAGACUUGGGCCCGGUCGAUCAUCCAGCGUUCUCGCUGGUGCACUCGGCCGGCCCAGGCCAGCAUCAGUUCGCGCCGGGGGACAAAGGUUCGGGGAAUGUGGCCCCCCCUCGCGGGGGGUGUUAUAGCCCGGUUCAAAUGCCCUGGCGCGGACUGAGGUCCGCG